Molecule: ribosomal RNA, 1405 nt
Filed under: uncultured bacterium
Lineage: Bacteria
Description: 16S ribosomal RNA
Rfam family: Bacterial small subunit ribosomal RNA
Source: RNAcentral
AGAGUUUGAUCCUGGCUCAGGAUGAACGCUAGCGACAGGCUUAACACAUGCAAGUCGAGGGGCAGCGGUGGUGAAGGCUUGCCUUUACCAGCCGGCGACCGGCGCACGGGUGAGUAACACGUAUGCAACCUGCCUGCCACAGCCGGAUAAUCGGGAGAAAUUCCGUCUAAUACGGCAUAAUGCAUCGACGGGACAUCCUGUUGGUGCCAAAGGUUGAUUCCGGUGGCGGAUGGGCAUGCGUCGCAUUAGUUAGUUGGCGGUGUAACGGACCACCAAGACGACGAUGCGUAGGGGUUCUGAGAGGAAGGUCCCCCACACUGGUACUGAGACACGGACCAGACUCCUACGGGAGGCAGCAGUGAGGAAUAUUGGUCAAUGGGCGGGAGCCUGAACCAGCCAAGUCGCGUGAGGGAUGACGGCCCUAUGGGUUGUAAACCUCUUUUGCCGGGGAGCAAAGUGCCGCACGUGUGCGGUUUGGAGAGUACCCGGAGAAAAAGCAUCGGCUAACUCCGUGCCAGCAGCCGCGGUAAUACGGAGGAUGCGAGCGUUAUCCGGAUUUAUUGGGUUUAAAGGGUGCGUAGGCGGACGCUUAAGUCAGCGGUAAAAUUGCGGGGCUCAACCUCGUCGAGCCGUUGAAACUGGGUGCCUUGAGUGGGCGAGAAGUACGCGGAAUGCGUGGUGUAGCGGUGAAAUGCAUAGAUAUCACGCAGAACUCCGAUUGCGAAGGCAGCGUACCGGCGCCCAACUGACGCUGAAGCACGAAGGCGUGGGUAUCGAACAGGAUUAGAUACCCUGGUAGUCCACGCAGUAAACGAUGAAUGCUAGUUGUCCGGGGCGAUUGAGUUCUGGGUGACACAGCGAAAGCGUUAAGCAUUCCACCUGGGGAGUACGCCGGCAACGGUGAAACUCAAAGGAAUUGACGGGGGCCCGCACAAGCGGAGGAACAUGUGGUUUAAUUCGAUGAUACGCGAGGAACCUUACCCGGGCUCAAACGCAGGAGGGAUGUUUUUGGAAGGAGGCAGCCAGCAAUGGUCUCCUGCGAGGUGCUGCAUGGUUGUCGUCAGCUCGUGCCGUGAGGUGUCGGCUUAAGUGCCAUAACGAGCGCAACCCCUACCUACAGUUGCCAUCGCGUGAUGGCGGGCACUCUGUGGGGACUGCCUGCGCAAGCAGUGAGGAAGGCGGGGAUGACGUCAAAUCAGCACGGCCCUUACGUCCGGGGCGACACACGUGUUACAAUGGCAGGUACAGCGGGAAGCCACCCGGCGACGGGGCGCGGAACCCGAAAACCUGUCUCAGUUCGGAUUGGAGUCUGCAACCCGACUCCAUGAAGCUGGAUUCGCUAGUAAUCGCGCAUCAGCCACGGCGCGGUGAAUACGUUCCCGGGCCUUGUACUCACCGCCCGUCA